Molecule: long non-coding RNA, 3458 nt
Filed under: Equus caballus (horse)
Lineage: Eukaryota; Metazoa; Chordata; Mammalia; Perissodactyla; Equidae
Description: lncRNA (ENSECAG00000046115.1)
Source: RNAcentral
GGUUCAGGCAUGUCUGGCAGGUGGUUCCGCUCUGUCUGAGAGGUGGUUCCCGCACUCCCGGCUGUUAAUUCCAGAGAGUCCGCCAUGUGUUUGUGGCAUAACUGGGAGAGGAUUUUGGUGUGUCCGGCACGUGGUCCUGGCUCAUUUGAGAGGUGGUUCCGUCAUGCCCGGGAAGUGAUUCCGGAGUGACCGCCAAGUGUUUCUGGCGUAGCCGGCACAUGAUUUUGGCGCAGACGGUUCAGGCGAGUCGAGCAGGAGUUCUGGCGUGCUCGGCAGGUGGUUCAGGAAUGUUUGGCAGUUUGUUCCGCUCUGUCUGGGAGGUGGUUCCGGCAUGUCCGGCACGUGGUUCUGGCAUGUCUGAAUGUGGGUCCGGCACGCCGGGCAGGUGAUUCCGGACUGUCUGCCACGUGCUUCUGGCAUAGCCGGCAGGUGACUUUGGCGUGUCUGGCAGGUGGUUCCGGCGAGUGGAGCAGGUGGUUCCGGCGUGCUGGACAGGUGGUUCAGGCGUGUGCUGCAGGUGGUUCCGGUCUGUCUGGAGGUGGUUCCGGUGUGUCCGGCCCGUGGUUCUGGCACGUCUGAGAGGUGGUUCCUUCAUACCCGGCAGGUGAUUCCAGAGUGUCCGAAAAGUGGUUCUGGCGUAGCCGGCAGGUGAUCUUGGCAUGUCUGGCAGGUGGUUCCGGAGAGUCGAGCAGGUGGUUCCGGCAUGCUCGGCAGGUGUUUCAGGUGUGUCCGGAUGGUGGUUCCGGUCUGUCCGGGAGGUAGUUCCGGCGUGUUCGGCAUGUGGUUCUGUCAGGUCUGAGAGGUGGUUCCGGCCUGCCAGGCAGGUGAUCCUGGAGUGUGUGACAAGUGACUCUAGUGUAACUGGGAGAUGAUUUUGGUGUGUCCGGCAGGUGGUUCUUGCAUGUUCGGCAGGUGGUUCCGGCGAGUCGAGCUGGUGGUUCCGGCAUGCUCGGCAGGUGGUUCCGGUGUGUCCGGCACGUGGUCCUGGCUCAUUUGAGAGGUGGUUCUGGCAUGCCUGGCAGGUGAUUCCGGAGUGACCGCCAAGUGGUUCUGGCGUAGCUGGCAGCUGAUUUUGGCGCAUCCGGCAGACGGUUCAGGUGAGUCGAGCAGGAGUUCCGGCGUACUUGGCAGGUGGUUCAGGCAUGUUCAGCAGUUCGUUCUGCUCUGUCUCGGAGGUGGUUCCGGCAUGUCUGGCACGUGGAUCUGGCAUGUCUGAAGGUGGUUCCGGCAUGCCGGGCAGGUGAUUCUGGACUGUCCCCCACGUGCUUCUGGUGUAGCCGGCAGGUGACUUUGGCGAGUCCAGCUGGUGGUUCCAGCGAGUGGAGCAGGUGGUUCCGGCAUGCUGGACAGAUGGUUCAGGCAUGAGCUGCAGGUGGUUCUGGUGUGUCUGGAGGUGGUUCCGGCCUGUCUGGCACGUGGUUCUGGCACGUCUGAGAGUUGGUUCCUUCAUGCCCGGCAAGUGAUACCAGAGUGUCCGAAAAGUGGUUCUGGCAUAGCAGGCAGGUGAUGUUGGCAUGUCUGGCAGGUGGUUCCGGCGAUUUGAGCAGGUGGUUUCGGCAUUUUCGGCAGGAGUUUCCGGUCUGUCCAGGAGGUGGUUCCAGCGUGUCCGGCACGUGGUUCUGGCACAUCUGAGACGUGGCUCCGGCAUGACCGGCAGGUGAUUCCAUUGUGUCCGCCUAGUGGUUCUUGCCUAGCCAGCAGGUGAUUUUGGUGUGUCCGGCCCUUGGUUCCGAUGAGUCGAGCAGGUGGUUCCGGUGUGCUGGGCAUCAGGUUCUGGUCUGUUGGCAAGGUAGUUCCGGCGUGUCUGGCACGUGGUUCUGGCACGUCUGAGAGGAGGUUCCGGCAUGCCCGGCUGGUGAUUCCAGAGUGUCUGCCACAUGUUUCUGGCAUAACCGCGAGAGGAUUUUGGCGUGUCCGGCAGGUGGUUCGGGCGUGCUCAGCAGGUGGUUCAGGCAUUUCUGGAAGGUGGUUCCGAUCUGUCCGGGAGUUGGUUCCGGCAUGUCCAGCACAUGGCUCUGGCAUGUCUGAAGGUGUUUCUGGAACGAUGGGCAGGUCAUUCUGGACUGUCCGCCACGUGCUUCUGGCAUAGCUGGCAGGUUAUUUUGGCGUGUCCGGCAGGUGGUUCUGGCGAGUGGAUCAGGUGGUUCUGGCGUGCUCGGCAGGUGGUUCAGGCAUGUGCGGCAGGUGAUUCCGGUCUGUCUGGAGGUGGUUCCGCCGUGUCCGGCAUGUGGUUCUGGCACGUCUGAGAGGUGGUUACAGCAUGCCCAGCUGGUGAUUUCAGAGUGUCCGCCAAGUGGUUCUGGCGUACUGGCAGGUGAUUUUGGUGUGUCUAGAAGGUGGUUCCGGUGUUUCCGGGAGGUGGUUCCGGCGUGUCUGGCACGUGGUUCUCGCACAUCUGAGAGGUGGUUCCGGCAUGCCCAGCAGGUGGUUCUGGAUUUUCAGCCAAGUGUUUCUGGCAUAGUCAGCAUGAGAUUUUGGUGUGUCCGGCAGGUGGUUGUGGUGAGUGAAGCAGGAGGUUCCAGCGUGUUCGGCAGGUGGUUCCGGAUUUUCCGCCAAGUGUUUCUGGCGUAGUCAGCAUGAGAUUUUGGCGUGUCCGGCAUGUGGUUACGGUGAGUUGAGCAGCUGGUUCCGGCGUUCUCGACAGGUGGUUCCGGCGUGUCAUGCAGGUGGUUCUGGUCCUUCCUGUAGGUGGUUUAGGCAUGUCUGGCACAUGGUUCUGUCACGCCUUAGAUGUCAUUAUGGGAUGCCUGGCAGGUGAUUCUGGACUUUCUGCCACGUGGUUCUGGUGUUGGCGGCAGGUCACUUUGGCGUGUCCGGCAGGUGGUUCUGGCAAGUGGAGCAGGUUGUCCUGGCCUGCUUGGAAAGUGGUUCCGGUCUGUCCGGGAGGUGGCUCCGGCGUGUCUGGCAUGUGGUUCUCGUACAUCUGAGAGGUGGUUCCAGCAUGGCCGGCAGGUGAUUCUGGAGUGUCUGGCUAGUGGUUCUGAAGUAGCCAGCCGGUGAUUUUGGCGUGUCCUGCAUGUGGUUCCGGUCUGUCCGGGAGGUGGUUCUGGCGUGUCCAGCAUGUGGUUCUGGCACGUCUCAGAAGUGGUGCAGGCAUGCCAAGCAGGUCAUUCCAGAGUGUUCGCCACGUGGUUCUGGCGUAGUCGGCAGGUGAUUUUGGCAUGUCUAGAAGGUGGUUCCGGACUUUCCGGAAGGUGGUUCCGGCGUGUCAGGCACGUGGUCCUGGCACGUCUGAGAGGUGGUUCCGGAAUGCCCGGCAGGUGAUUACGGAGUUUCCGCCAAGUGGUUUUGGCGUAGCCAGCAGGAGAUUUUGGCAUGUCUGGCAGAUGGUUCCGGCGAGUUUAGCUGGAUGUUCCAGCAUGCUCAUCAGUUCGUUCAGGCGACCCCGGCAGGUGGUACUGGUCUGUCCGGGUGGUGCUUCCUGAGUGUCCAGCACGUGGGUCUGGCACAUCUGAGAG